Molecule: ribosomal RNA, 713 nt
Filed under: Bacillus velezensis
Lineage: Bacteria; Bacillati; Bacillota; Bacilli; Caryophanales; Bacillaceae
Description: bacterial SSU rRNA
Rfam family: Bacterial small subunit ribosomal RNA
Source: RNAcentral
UUUAUCGGAGAGUUUGAUCCUGGCUCAGGACGAACGCUGGCGGCGUGCCUAAUACAUGCAAGUCGAGCGGACAGAUGGGAGCUUGCUCCCUGAUGUUAGCGGCGGACGGGUGAGUAACACGUGGGUAACCUGCCUGUAAGACUGGGAUAACUCCGGGAAACCGGGGCUAAUACCGGAUGUUUGUUUGAACCGCAUGGUUCAGACAUAAAAGGUGGCUUCGGCUACCACUUACAGAUGGACCCGCGGCGCAUUAGCUAGUUGGUGAGGUAACGGCUCACCAAGGCGACGAUGCGUAGCCGACCUGAGAGGGUGAUCGGCCACACUGGGACUGAGACACGGCCCAGACUCCUACGGGAGGCAGCAGUAGGGAAUCUUCCGCAAUGGACGAAAGUCUGACGGAGCAACGCCGCGUGAGUGAUGAAGGUUUUCGGAUCGUAAAGCUCUGUUGUUAGGGAAGAACAAGUGCCGUUCAAAUAGGGCGGCACCUUGACGGUACCUAACCAGAAAGCCACGGCUAACUACGUGCCAGCAGCCGCGGUAAUACGUAGGUGGCAAGCGUUGUCCGGAAUUAUUGGGCGUAAAGGGCUCGCAGGCGGUUUCUUAAGUCUGAUGUGAAAGCCCCCGGCUCAACCGGGGAGGGUCAUUGGAAACUGGGGAACUUGAGUGCAGAAGAGGAGAGUGGAAUUCCACGUGUAGCGGUGAAAUGCGUAGAG